ACGAACGCUGGCGGCAUGCCUAACACAUGCAAGUCGAACGAAGCCUUCGGGCUUAGUGGCGCACGGGUGCGUAACGCGUGGGAAUCUGCCCUUUGGUUCGGAAUAACAGUUAGAAAUGACUGCUAAUACCGGAUGAUGACUUCGGUCCAAAGAUUUAUCGCCUUUGGAGGGGCCCGCGUCGGAUUAGGUAGUUGGUGAGGUAACGGCUCACCAAGCCUGCGAUCCGUAGCUGGUCUGAGAGGAUGACCAGCCACACUGGGACUGAGACACGGUCCAGACUCCUACGGGAGGCAGCAGUGGGGAGUAUUGGACAAUGGGGGCAACCCUGAUCCAGCAAUGCCGCGUGGGUGAUGAAGGCCUUCGGGUUGUAAAGCCCUUUCGGCGGGGACGAUGAUGACGGUACCCGCAGAAGAAGCCCCGGCUAACUUCGU
RNAcentral lists this ribosomal RNA (431 nucleotides) under uncultured bacterium. RNAcentral describes it as "bacterial SSU rRNA". It matches the Rfam family "Bacterial small subunit ribosomal RNA", at positions 29 to 506 of the family's 1533-position model. The record is from RNAcentral.